This 6260-nucleotide ribosomal RNA is filed under the name Triticum aestivum (bread wheat). Its description in RNAcentral is "partial small subunit ribosomal RNA". Lineage: Eukaryota; Viridiplantae; Streptophyta; Magnoliopsida; Poales; Poaceae. The record is from RNAcentral.
CCUACGAAAAUAACCUACGCCCCGACCGCCGCCCGCGGGUCGCCCGCUCCCUCGCGCCCCCGUUGCUCCAUCCUCGAUCCCGAUCUGGAUCGAGGGGAUGAGGAGCUCCUGCCUCCCCGACGGCCGGCCUCCUCCUCGCCUCGCCGCUGUGUCCGGCGCCGCCAUGGCCUCUGGAGCCAGGGAAGCUCGUCCUCGAGGUCCCCGCCACCGUCUCCUGCAACGUCUGCCCUGCCGCCUCACCAGAUCCUUCGCCCUCGCAGCCGCCGCCGAUCCCCUCCCUCAAACGCCGCCGCCCGUCGCUGCAGCCCCCGCCACCUCCCGUCGCAAGCUUCUGUGCUGCCACACGAUCACAUCUGUCCUCCCUUGCGCUCCGAUCCGCACGAGAUCACCGAUUCUGCCUCCUGAUGCCACGCCGCUCCCCAGCGACGAGGCUGCUCCCAUUGUUCCCAUCGACGCUUCAUGAUCCACGGCCUCCCCCAUCCUCUUCUCCAUACAACACCGAUGUCGCCGUCCCGUAUUCCCCACCGCUGUCUUGCCAACUGUAGCACGCCGGAUCCUCUUCUUCAGAAGCUGCCGCCUCACGUGCAAUGCCACCACCCAUGGCCCUCCACGGACACCACCAUCACGGGCGUAACUUGGACAACAGACCCCAUGACGGCAGAAGGAAGAGCAAGUGGGGGGUAUCGAGACUGGCCACCAUCGUGAGGAUACCGGCGUCCGUGUGCGUGGUGAUGGCAUGGUGACGCAAGAAGGUCGUGUUCCUGGUGUGCCGCGUGCUCCGUCUCCAUCCACGUCCGCGACCGCAAGACAGGGAGAUGCAUCUGGAAGGAGGCACUGGGGCAACAUCAAGAAGUUCUGUUAAACUGAUUCAUAGCAGCAUCUCAAAGUUCAAUCAGAAGAAGCGCGACAUUGUGGUUUCUAUAGGGUGGGAGGUAUCCUCCAUAUCCCUGAGCCGAACAAGCUAAAUCUAAAGCCGGAUGUGUUCUUGCUUACACAUGUGGACAUAGAUAUAGGAGGGCAAUUGUAAUUGAUGAUGAUAGAACUUGCCCGUUUGAUGCCACGGACGUUGGGAAGGUAUUCGAUCAGGAUCCCUUGGACAGGCGCUCGUGUUGCUAACAAGAAGAAUGACUGCAUUCAGUCAGCAGCCAAGGAGAUCAGAUGAUGUUUAGGGAUUAUAGGGUCAAAAGAAGGAAGAAGUUUGAAAGCAGCUCAAGCAUUACUGGAAAAGAAUUAUAACUCACCGAUGACAGAGAAGGAGGUGCAUGCUUCCAAGGCAACACUUAUUAUUUUCCUUGUGGGAUACAUGAUGGCACCGAUGGCAAAAUAUGAUUAUUCAAGCCUAACAUACUGGCCAAUGCUUAUGGGUCCUGACAAUAUUCAUAAUUACAAGUGGGGUUAAUAUGUCAUGGAAGGCAUACUAGAGGCAGAUGACAAGCUAAAGUGUGAUGUCACAAGGAAGAAAUCCGUGACCAACAUAACCGGGUGUUCUAUUCCUUCAGGUGUUUUAUCUUCAUAGCCUUAACCUGGGUGAAAUAACAAUGCAGCAUGGAAUUCUUUUGAGAAUCAAGGUGUUCAACAACUAGAUUAUGAGGAUCAUGAUCAUUGGUGAUUGCAGCCGAUCUAUCAGCAAUAGAUCAAAAGUUGAUUUUCGGAGCAUCCAUGGUGUACUGAGUGCAGAGUAUAUGAAUUGCCUUUUGCUUGUUGUCUACUAACAUUCAAUUAUAAUCCAAUAGCCAAGAGACACGAAUAGCAGUGUGUGUUCACACAGGGCUGCAAUGCGUGAUGGUGUUGGCCAUUCAGGGCCUGAACCAAAGGACUUCAUACUAAAGCAGUUCCCUCGAUCGUGCAAGAAUGUAAUAAUUCAUUACUAAGGAUCAAGUUAUAGUUAUUGAAAAGUCGUGACUCGCUACUGCUGGGAGAUGCGCCUCCACACAUUCUAGGGGAAAGAGAUUUGGGCAUGACAAGAUGAAGCAGUUCAGGUCCAUGAUUUCUAUUAAACUUUUGCAAGGAACUCGAAUAAUAUGUUCUUAUGGUAAUACAAAAAUAUUAAUAUGUUAUUACAAUGUAUUUUCCAGCAGUCUCAUUGUUCAUUUAUGGAGUAAUACUAAUUGCUGUCAUUUUAUUUUUCAGGAUACCUCUAAUUAUUCUUAAUGUGAUACGUUUCAUUGCAGGGUGAUACGUAUGGAGGAAAAGAACCAGAGCAGCGCUAGCUUGGAUAAAAGUUUCAGUGACAGAAUUUGUUUGGCAUAUGUGGAAAUCUUGGUAAAGAUCUCAACACACCUGAGCAAUGAGCACAUGUUACCAACCACAACCCACACAGGAUAAAGGCGCAUGCGGCGGCGAGUUUAAUAGGGGCAUAAGAAACGAGAAUGGCGGGUGCGGUGACGGUCAUUCAUGUGUUGGACAAAAUAAUACACCCCAUCUGUGUCAUGAGGCUGGACUUGACAUAGACAUCAGCAAACAUGGAGCAUGGUGUUGAGGUGGGAGUCGGACGCAUGGAUGUACUUGACAAGGAGCAAGUAGACGUGAGCAUGCAUAGUGGGCAAUGCUCCCGAUGGUCAGGCGGAUGAGAAGACCGAAGAGGAAAGCCGCAUGUGCAUAUUUGUGGCGGAAUGGGGCUAGCUUGAGGCAAUUAGGUAGUGUCUAUUUGGACAGGUUGCCGACAGAGAAAAGUUCUAUAGUCUGGCUUGAUGAGUAACAUAGACAGGCAUGUUGGUGCUAUAAGGUUAUAUCCAUGGUUUAAUUUUGCAUCAGCAUUCCUGCUUCUUCGAACAUGUUUACUUACACAUUAAAAAUUGUGUAUGAAACCCCUUACAAAGCCAUUUGUAUCCAGUAUCCUAUAGUAAUAUAAAAGUACUGCAUGAUGUUGGAGUCGUGAAUUGUUGUUAAACUUUUGCAAGUGGUAACAGUACAAUGGUUUGCACACAUUGCCAUUGUGCUACUAAAUGAUCUGUAACAUUCAUGCCGAAAUUAUUUGGUUUUGGUCCUAUGCUUUUUUACCUGUUCAUUUACUGAUGAAGAUAGCAUAUGUUCAUAUUUUAAAAUUAUAGUUAUCUGUGCUUCUAGUUGAUAGAGAUCAAAAUAUUUCAGACUUUCAGACUGAAAUAUCUUUUCUUCCUUUGCUAUAAUUCAUGGGCCAUGGAAGAGAGGAGGGAAAGCAGAGGGAGUGCAGUGCCAAGGAAAUGCAGCAGGAAAGGUUGGAAAUAGCGUCGCUCGAGCGGGGAAGGGAAGGAGAGACGACCCGUGCGCAGGGGCGACACUACUGCUAUGCUACGGUUCAUGUUGGUGCCGCUGUUACUACAUUGAGAGAGACUGUCGCACCCGUUUGAUGUCUGAGCAUGCUCGGAAGUAUGAGUGAGAAAUAAGCUUCGGCCUUGGACAUGACCUUAAUCCAGGUCGCCGUCGGGACACCGUUGCCGAGGGCUGCGUGUCCGACACCCUUGAGACGCUCUUUCUUUCCGAGGCCACUACGGGGAGGCCUGUGCGCUUGCGCGUGCUCAUGUACGACCGGCAACUCCCGUGGGCGGGCUGCAUGGCGCGCGCCGCCGGCGUGCUGACGGCCACGCUCUUCUCGCAGCUCUGCUCGGUGGGCGUCAUCUACAGGAAGGUCUAUGCCGGCCGCUUCGACCCGUCGGUCAUGGAAGGGGGCGCGCUGCGGGGCCUGCUGAGUGGUGGAAGUGUCAUCAUUUGUGGCAGCACCGGAGUCAUACCGGUUGUUGCUGGAUGUAGUGGUGGGCCCGUUUGAAGGGUUUGUGGACGCCGCCGACGUCAUAGCAACUCGUUCCAUGAGCUUGAUAUCAAGAAAGUCGAUCUGUUGGGGGCACACAUGGGAACAAUGUGAUAGCUGAAUUAAUUCAAGAUCAUGUAUGUAGGUCUUCUAUAUGUUAUAUGAAAUUUCAUAACCCAUUUUUUCCCUUCAGGCAUCAACACGCGAACAGAGCUAUGAAUUAUUUUGUAUUCAGAUGACAUAAUGAGUGUUGAAUCUCAUAUACUUUGUUAUAAAGAGAUGAAAAUUGGUGCUCUUCUGACCUCUGCUGGAAUCAAUAUUGGUCUUUGUAUACUUUUUCUGUUAUUCUAUUCCAUUUUGAGGAAGAACCCACAAAAUGUUAAGGUCUAUUUUGGGAGAAGGAUUGCUGAACAACAUAAGAGGCUCCGAGGAGCUUUUAUUUUGGAGAUAUUUGUUUCAUCCCACAUAGGAGCAGCUGCUGGAAUAGAAAUAAAUUGCUUCUAUACAUGUAAGGCAUCGUGGGUACUCUUCUUACAGGAAACAUACCUACUUGGUCGCAUACUCGAGUGCAUUUUCUUGGUGGUGUGCUUCUCUUUUUUCUUGUAGUGCUCCAGAAGGUUCAUCAAAGUAGUCCUUUCGUUUGAUGCAUUAGCCUUUUUUUUGGGAUAUGCUAACUUGAUUUUGAUUUCUACAGGUGUAGCUAAGCUAGCACAAAGAAGGGGUGUCCCUAACAUGUUGUUGAUUCCAUUUCUUCUACUAUAUUAUAUGAAUAGUCAGUCUAAUUGCUGAUUCAGAAGUCUUCUAGGGAACAAGAUGCCCAACUCGUUAUCAUGUUGUGUGGGUUAAAACAAAUUUACAACUGAUGGUGGUUAUAAAGCUUGGCCGAAAUUUGUUUGUAAGUGAUGCUCUUCAGGUAACUUUCAAUAGUUGUAAUCCCCUUAAUUUCCAACUAAUUGAAUUGUUACUUAUAUGCAAUAUGAGGUGAAUUAUUCUGGAUCCAUAUAUGUAUUUAUCCCUAAUGAUUGGGCAUCUCUAAUGUAUGCCGGGUACAUUCCCUACAAGAUUGCAUAGCACCUUCGUAACAUUGAGCUAACGAUGCCUCAAGAUGCAUCCCAUGACACCGUAAGAGACACUAGAGGACUGUCAGGGGGAGAGCGAUCUUUUUCGACACUUUGCUUCGCUUUAGCACUUCAUGGGAUGAUAGAAGCACCUUUUAGGGCCAUGGAUGAGUUUGAUGUAUUCAUGGACGCGGUGAGCUGUAAAAUAAGCUUGGACACCCUUGUAGAUUUUGCUGUUGCACAAGGCUCACAAUGGAUAUUUAUAACACCGCAUGAUAUCAGCAUCGUGAAGCCUGGAGAUCACAAAUGGAAAAUCGCCUGUCUGUUACUGUGCUCAGUAGUGUAUAUAUCUCCUUAGCCUUAGCAUCCACGUUUGACAGAACCUGUCGGGAACUGCUCGCCUUGUAUUUAAGUUGUGCAUAGCUUGUUUCCAAAUGUGAACUCAACCAACACCACACGGGCUCAGUGCCCAUACAGCAAGGUAAGGUAUAGAUAGUUUCAUGUUUCUUCAAGGUACAUUAUUUUAUACUCCAUCCUGAGUUAUUUCUAGACGUACUUACGGCAGUUAGUGAUGUUUCCUCACCAUCAGUGACUGUGGCGUGCUCAUUGUAUUAUGGGAGCUUAGAGUCGUUAACAUUAAUUAUUUACAUUAUGGAUAUCAUCUUGAUGAUAAUUGUCAAUACAUACUCUGACCAGUUUGCAAUGUCAAAAUGUUGUAGUUAUAUAUAUUUUAUCCAUAAACUUUUAGUUUCAUGUUUUAGAGUUUUCGUUCUCAAAUUUGUAUGAAUUGGAUUCCAAUGCUCAAAACCUCAGUUUCAUAAGAAACAAUUCAUCAGCUAACAUACUUUUUUUUAAUGUACAGGAUGUUGAUUUCAUCAUAUUUAAAAAGAAGGAAAUGAAUAGGGUGAAGAAAUCUCAUCAUAUAAUCUCCUCUCCAAUUCACACUCAUAUAAGCAAACAAGCGGAGUGAGAGGAUGACGAGGCGUAAAUGGAGGCGGGGUCGGUCCGUCGUUGUGGCAGUCCAGGAGCACCACGGGGUUGCCGGCGACCCGUGUGCCGCAGGCAGCUGUUGGGAACGUCGAGCCACGAGACAACCUGUUGGCGUCGGACCCACAUCAGCGUCCCCAACUCCCCAUUGGCGGCACAUCCAUCCCCGCCACCACGUGCUGCCCUCCACCUCCUGCCCGUCGGUCCAUCAAUUUGAUCUCCUCAACAUAGCCGAUGAGCGAGUGCUGAAGUGUCCACAACGGCACAACCUAGAACGCGCGGCGAGAUCCAGCGACACCGAUGUGGAGGGAGGCGUCACGAGAGAUUGAAGCAAGCCUUGGUGGGGCUUCCCUGUUGCUGCUGCGAGAAGCAGAAGGAGGCGGUGUUACGUAGAAACGAAAUUUGUUUGUUUGCUUGAGUGAAUAUAUAUGUCUAAUGUAUACAAAAAAAUCGGUUAUGUGUUAAAAAUUUGAAGUAUGUGGUUGUUG